RNAcentral lists this ribosomal RNA (482 nucleotides) under uncultured bacterium. Its description in RNAcentral is "partial 16S ribosomal RNA". It matches the Rfam family "Bacterial small subunit ribosomal RNA", at positions 29 to 507 of the family's 1533-position model. The record is from RNAcentral.
ACGAACGCUGGCGGCGUGCCUAACACCUGCAAGUCGAGCGGGGAUUUAAGUGGAAGUUCUUCGGAAUGGAGAUUUAAAUUCUAGCGGCGGACGGGUGAGUAACGCGUGAACAAUCUGUCCCGGACAGGGGGAUAACACUUGGAAACAGGUGCUAAUACCGCAUAAGACCACGGCCUCGCAUGGGGCUGAGGUAAAAGGAGCAAUCCGGUUCGGGGUGAGUUCGCGUCCGAUUAGCUAGUUGGUGAGGUAACGGCCCACCAAGGCGACGAUCGGUAGCCGGCCUGAGAGGGUGAACGGCCACAUUGGAACUGAGAGACGGUCCAAACUCCUACGGGAGGCAGCAGUGGGGAAUAUUGGGCAAUGGGCGAAAGCCUGACCCAGCAACGCCGCGUGAGGGAAGAAGGUUUUCGGAGUGUAAACCUCUGUCCUAUGGGACGAAGGAAGUGACGGUACCAUAGGAGGAAGCCCCGGCUAACUACGUG